Molecule: ribosomal RNA, 25 nt
Filed under: Trichoderma virens
Lineage: Eukaryota; Fungi; Ascomycota; Sordariomycetes; Hypocreales; Hypocreaceae
Also listed under: 1 other name
Description: partial 28S ribosomal RNA
Source: RNAcentral
GGAAUACCCGCUGAACUUAAGCAUA